Long non-coding RNA from Acanthopagrus latus (yellowfin seabream), 2206 nucleotides. RefSeq lists it as uncharacterized. The record is from RefSeq and is a predicted model, not a curated record. The transcript is spliced from 3 exons. NCBI's taxonomy places the organism in Eukaryota, Metazoa, Chordata, Actinopteri, Spariformes, Sparidae.
UCAAUGUUUUGUAAACAGGCGGAGUCAGGAAAUGUGUCUCUAAGAGAGCCAUUUGGAUUUCACCCGCACACUUACGUAAGAGUGCGGGUGAUUUGAAUGCUCCAGCCCUCACGCUGGAUAUCUCCUCCCAUAUUACUCCGGCUACCUGAAGGAGGAUCCGCCAUUUUCUCGCUUCACUUGUAUGCCACAGUCUGACCGCAACCAUGUGCAACCUGAAAGCCAAGCACUCCUGCUCUGUCGUCGGAUGCACGGACACUCAUGUUUCCCUACAUUGCCUUCCUACCAAAGAGGAUAUCAGAGCGAAGUGGCUAAAUUUUAUUUUUCAGGGAAACGUCCCAGCUUCACUGAGCAAAAGCGUUGUUGUCUGUGCCAAUCACUUCACACCGGACUGUUUCAGCAACCAGGGUCAGUAUCAGGCUGGACUGGCAACGAGAUUGUUCCUCAAAGAUGGAUCAAUACCCACUGUCCGUGUCAACGCCACAGAAGAAGAAACUAAGUAUUUUUAAAAACAGUGUUGUUUGUGUUACUUUGGCUGUUUAGCACAUGAGCUAACGCUAACGGGUGAUGUAAAUAUGAGGCUGAGCUAACAUUACAACAGUGGGCUUACUGGUCUUAGGAUUCACGGUAAUGUUAAUGUUGCCUAACCUUAAUUUGUCAUAUCAGCACUCAUGACAGUGAACUGAGAAAUUGAAUUGGGAUAUUGAGAUUUGAUCGCUUCUAAACGGCCGGUGAUCCACUAAGAUGUUGUCCGCGGACGACUUCUCAGUUGCUACAGCUACUGUUCCGUCAUGAACACGCAUGGGAAACCGUCUCCUCCACAUGCUCACAGCCGAUCAGACGGUGUGAAAUUGUCCCAGUUGUCCGCGGACGACGAGCUAGCUAGCGCUACUCGGCCGUGAACAGCGCUAGCUAGCCAUCGUCAUGUUCACGGCCGAACAGCGCUAGCUAGCUCAUCGUCCGCGGACAACUUCUCAGUUACUACAGCUACCGUUUCGACAUGAACACGCAUGGGAAACCGUCUCCUCCACAUGCUCACAGCUGAUCAGACGGUGUGAAAUUGUCUCAGUUGUUCGCGGACGGAGAGCUAAUGUUCCGCUGUGAACACGCAGAGAGGACGGUAUGAAAUGCUCUGUUAUUCACGGCCAGUGAGCUACCUUACGUCAAUUAGCAUGUUAUGCUAAAGGCUAAAGGACAGUGUGUUAGAUGCCCAGGAGCACCUUGGCAGACGAACGACUUAUUUUGUGUUGAUAUACACGUAUAUACUACGUGUGUAGUGUUAGCUGCUGGUACGAGAGACCCGAUCUGACAGUACCAAAACUUUAUCUGCAGUCAAGCAAUCAUUACUUUGCUUUGGAGCCUGAGACAGGGGUUACCUGUCUGCUGUGCUACGAUUAACAUUAGUUAUAUGAAGGCAUGGACACAAUAUGUAUUGCUCACUUACUAAAUCUAAUGUGAAAUGAGGAAUUUGCAUGGGUUUGCUCGGAUUAUGAUUUGCCAGAAUUUGCCUUAUCAAAUGGAUUGUUUUAAUCAUCAUUCUGUCAUCACAUCUGUACAGCAGUCUGUAGUGCAUCAUGUUGCCUGCCAGACAGACCAACCAGUGAAAUGCACUGUUGGCACACAGCUUUCCAUGAGAACUCUCUGGUCUCACUUCAGAAGCACAGGCAACAUCUACAGGCGGAGAGCUGCUGUACAGUCAACUUCCCCAAAUCUAAGCAUGGAGAAUGAACUGCAAAGCCUGUGAAUGCAGAGCCAACAUUCCACUACGUUGAUGCACUGUUGGACCUGAUCUUCAAGAAGGUUUUCCAGGACCCUGGCCCAUAUGUGAACGAGGUGCUGAAACUUACAAUCCCUGAAGACCUCUCGGCUCAGUAUGAAAGACCCAACAAGCUGGACGUUAUAGCCAGUUACGUGCCAAGGUUCAAUCAAGGACAGGACUGAAUCUAACAUACUGUCCUUCAGCGUCGGGGAACUCUGCAUGAAUCCUCAGCACCACACAAGCAGGCAGCACAGCUCUCACUCUUCGCCCCAGAAAGCACCAGCACCAGCUUACAAAGCCUCUGUAGGCUAGGUAUCUAUAUUUGCUGGACACAAUUCAGUAGAAAAUCAGCACUGAAUGUUCACAUCCAUGGCAAGUUUAACUGUUCCACUUUAGAUAUUUAUUUUGUAUGUCUACAAUUGUUUCUUGUAAUAAAACAUCUCUCCCAAC